GGUAAGGAGGAGAAAAGAAAGAAAGAAAAAUUGGAAAGAUAAAUGGGGUCUUCCAGUGAAGGCCUUUGCACUUGGACUGGAACUAAACCAUCUGAUCUUCUUGUUCUACCACUUGCAGACUGUAUAUCUUGGGACAUUCCACCCUCUGUAAUCACAUCAACCCUGCCCUGUGGUUCCAGAAGCUGACAUUUUUGAAUUUAACUAAUAGGACAUCUUGCCCUCUGGACUGAGAUGGAUUUCAACCAAUAGCUGCAGUUAUGGCAUUAACCUCCCAGUUGUUACCUACUUCUAGAUGAAACAGAAGAAAAAGCUCCACUUCUGGAUUUGUUUUGUUAUGCCCAGACCGUUUGUUCCCCAAAGAAGACCACCAGAGUCCAGAGUCAAAGCCAAGCGGCAAG
Long non-coding RNA from Cercocebus atys (sooty mangabey), 398 nucleotides. RefSeq lists it as uncharacterized. The record is from RefSeq and is a predicted model, not a curated record. The transcript has 5 exons. NCBI's taxonomy places the organism in Eukaryota, Metazoa, Chordata, Mammalia, Primates, Cercopithecidae.